This 253-nucleotide ribosomal RNA is filed under the name uncultured prokaryote. RNAcentral describes it as "partial 16S ribosomal RNA". It matches the Rfam family "Bacterial small subunit ribosomal RNA", at positions 525 to 777 of the family's 1533-position model. The record is from RNAcentral.
ACGGAGGGUGCAAGCGUUAUCCGGAUUCACUGGGUUUAAAGGGUGCGUAGGUGGGUUAGUAAGUCAGUGGUGAAAUCUCCGGGCUUAACUCGGAAACUGCCACUGAUACUAUUAAUCUUGAAUACUGUGGAGGUCAGCGGAAUAUGUCAUGUAGCGGUGAAAUGCAUAGAUAUGACAUAGAACACCAAUAGCGAAGGCAGCUUACUACACGAUCAUUGACGCUGAGGCACGAAAGCGUGGGGAGCAAACAGGA